This is a non-coding RNA of Schistosoma mansoni, 46 nucleotides long. NCBI's taxonomy places the organism in Eukaryota, Metazoa, Platyhelminthes, Trematoda, Strigeidida, Schistosomatidae. The record is from Rfam.
GCGCUGCUGAGGAGUCUCAUAAUAGGACGAAACGGCCGUCCAGUGC